CUCAAUAUGUUUCAUUGGCUGUAGACAGCAGGUAAUGGUAAUGGAUGUAAGUCCGCCUGCCGAGGCCGGGGAUUAGUCGUAUGGCAUUGCCUUAGCGACCUCCGGUAUAUACUGCCUGGAGGUCGUUUUUAUUUAUUAUU
Molecule: regulatory RNA element, 140 nt
Organism: Propionispora sp. 2/2-37
Lineage: Bacteria; Bacillati; Bacillota; Negativicutes; Selenomonadales; Sporomusaceae
Rfam family: Ribosomal protein L10 leader
About the family: This family is a putative r-protein leader autoregulatory structure found in B. subtilis and other low-GC Gram-positive bacteria. It is located in the 5' untranslated regions of mRNAs encoding ribosomal proteins L10 and L12 (rplJ-rplL).
Source: Rfam